GCCGACAUAGCUUAGUUGGUGGAGCGGUGGACUGUUAAUCCACAGGUCGCAGGUUCGAGUCCUGCUGUCGCCGCCA
This 76-nucleotide transfer RNA is filed under the name Gemmatimonadota bacterium. Its description in RNAcentral is "Gemmatimonadetes bacterium tRNA-Asn". It matches the Rfam family "tRNA". From Rfam's summary of the family: Transfer RNA (tRNA) molecules are approximately 80 nucleotides in length. Their secondary structure includes four short double-helical elements and three loops (D, anti-codon, and T loops). Lineage: Bacteria; Pseudomonadati; Gemmatimonadota. The record is from RNAcentral.